RNA transcript from Myxocyprinus asiaticus (Chinese sucker), 1868 nucleotides. It is a transcript of the gene named ribosomal RNA-processing protein 8-like, with no coding region annotated. The record is from RefSeq and is a predicted model, not a curated record. NCBI's taxonomy places the organism in Eukaryota, Metazoa, Chordata, Actinopteri, Cypriniformes, Catostomidae. The transcript has 9 exons.
CAGCACUAAGUUUUCAGCCACUGCAGCAGCGUUCGAAGGAAGAUUAGUAACCCGGAUGUACACAAAACCACGUGACGGAUUUCUACACGUGUGGGAGAGAUCAUUUUAAAACAUGUUUGCUGAAGAAGAAUGGACGGAUUCUCCAUCACCUGAUGGAUCAACCCAGGCUGUUGCAGUGUCACCUGUUACUGGCAAGGAGAAGGUUGUGGGUAAGCGAAGUCUUUUGAGGACUUUGCAAACGUUGGGGUCGGUUCCAGAAUGGGAGACUGGGAAACCUAUUGGGGACAGUGAUGAGGAGACAGAGGACACCCCUUCAGUCAAAACAAAAAAGAAAAGUUGCGAAAAACGCAAAAGAACCUCUACCAUUGAUAAUGAAGGGAAACAGCAGAAUGAACUGGAGUCACCCGAAACACCUGUGAAGAAGAAGUCAGUGAAGAAGAUUAUAAAAGAAACCAGUUCUAAGACGUCACAAGAGUCCAAAAAGGAGGUAAGUGACAAAAAAGGAGCUCAAAUUGAAAAAGAAAAAAUUCAAACAGAGAAAAGGCUGAGCAGAAAACAGUGGAGGAACAGGAUGAAGAACAAAAGACAUUGUAAGAACAAAUAUCUACCAAAAACAACAGGUGCUAAUAAUGCCAAAGCCAAGGAGGAAGCCUUAGUUCAAACACAAGAUGACAUAGGAGUACAAAAAGUGCAAAAAAAUGACAAGCCAUCCAAAAAAAUGAAGAAGUCUUGUGAAAAGAAUGGCAUUUCUUCUGUCGUGGACAAUACUGAAAAUUGCAGAGACUCUAUGAGCUCCGAUCACAUAAAAUCUAUAGCACAUGAAACUUCCUGUGCAGAACCUAGGAUAGUAGAUGACUCUCUUAGCAACAAUAAAGUCUCUCAUGAAGUGGGUGAUAAAGGGAAACCAUGCAAAAUGUCAAAAAUAUCAAAAUUACGUGCAGACAAAUUGUGUCAUGUUAUAAAUUUGCAUCUUACUGAUGAAAGUAAUAAAGCCACAGAGGAGCGAGAACCAAAGGACAAAACGGUGAAGUCAAAGGGUGAUGAAGAGCAAACGCCUCUUGAUCGCUCAAGUGCUUUAAGGUCAAAGAUGGAGAAGCGAUUAGAAGCUGCUCGAUUCCGCCACAUCAAUGAGCUGCUUUACACUUCAACCAGUGGUGAAGCCAAACGCAUGUUUCAACAGGACCCUGAAGCCAUUGGAAUUUACCACAAGGGUUACACAGCACAGGUUCAACACUGGCCUGCAAACCCUGUGGAUUCAAUUAUUUCCUAUAUUCACCAAAGACCAGCUUCUUUAGUUGUUGCAGACUUUGGUUGUGGGGACUGUAAAAUUGCACGGAGUGUAAAAAAUAAAGUGCACUCUUUUGACCUUGCUCCGGUUUGUGAACUUGCCACUGCAUGUGAUAUGGCAAAGGUGCCUCUUUGUGAUUCCACGGUAGAUAUUGCUGUGUUCUGCCUUUCUCUUAUGGGGACAAAUCUUGUUGACUUUUUGGCAGAAGCAAACAGAGUACUGGUCAAGGGGGGCAUUCUUAAAAUUGCAGAAGUGGCCAGUAGAUUUGAAAGUGUGCGCUCGUUCCUUGGUGCAUUGUCAAGUUUGGGAUUUAAGUUGGUCAGUAAGACUGACAAACUUAACAGACUGGAGUCACUAUCACUUUCAUAAUACCAAUUAAACCUGAGAAGACUCAACUUUUGUGUUCCAUAAAAGAAAGAAAGUCACGCAUUAGGGAAACAACAUCUGACUGAACUGUACUACUAAUCAGCUCUUGUGGAAUGAUCCAGGACACGUUAGCAGCAGGGACACCAUUGGAGGCCAAACACUCAAUGUAAAUGUGGUCUGAACUAACAUUGUGAUUUAAACUAAUAUUAGGGGC